Molecule: long non-coding RNA, 2003 nt
Organism: Lemur catta (Ring-tailed lemur)
Lineage: Eukaryota; Metazoa; Chordata; Mammalia; Primates; Lemuridae
Exons: 2
Source: RefSeq, a predicted model, not a curated record
UCUGAGCAUGGAGAAUCUGCGCUCCUGGCUGAACCGCUCUGCCAAAGCCCAGGGGUGCUGCUCCCCGAUUCUGACGGUUCUAAUGAGACUCGGAGUGGGGACGACAAAAGGGCACAGAGCUUCCAGAGCAACAAGCUGGCUAACGAGCUGUUGACACAGCACUUAGACUUAUUAAGAGACAUCAGAGCAACACCAACAAACACGUCUCCCUGGGGAGAAACCAAACACAGACCCUGUGGCCAGUGACAGGUCCGUGUCCACAGACAGGGACCACCAAGCAAGAAUUUAGGGCCUGAAGAGUCUUCAGCAUUGAAAAUCUUUCCUCAGCCUCCCUUGGUAGAUCUCUGAGCUCCACCCGGAGCAGUGCCGAACUCCUGGUGCUAAGCCCCUGGGACGGCACCUGUGAUGCCACGCCUUUCCUCUGAUCGCCAGCGUGACAAUAACAGGGACCUGUAAUACCCAGUGCUGCUGUCGUCGGCGUGCUGUGCGUGUCACGCCUGCACAGCUGAGCAUCGUCACCAGGGAGAAAUCCGUGCCCUGCCAACCCCGGCCCCUCUCCCCAUCCUUCCUGCCCUUCUGUUCUCUCUCCAGGACUCUGACACUGCUCUGACGCUAUCGUUCCCUGUAGAGUUAGGUUCACUGGAGGAGCCACUUGGCAUUCUGGUCACUAUGGGACGUUUUCCUCUCUGAAAGCAACAGGAAGGUUUCAGAGAAUUCAGCAUUUAAUAACUAAAACAUAGUUUCCAUUAGAAACCUCUACUUUUACCAAAAUGAUUUAAAUCAGUUGCUUCAACAGAACAGAGUCCUGUCAAUCCCUGCAACCCUGUGGUGAGUGCUGAGGGCGGGUGCCCACUGCCGAGGCCCGGAGGAGCCGGUGGAGCCACCUGUCCAGAUGCCAGGCCUGCGGAUGCCACUCUCCUGCCCCCGCUCAGUCGGAAGGACUUAGCGACUGUAAACGUGUGCACACGGACUCGCCCUCGAGUAUUACAUGCACGAUCCCAGCACCAGAGAGCCAGGCUAAAAUUUUGGGGGUUUCCUUCUGGACUGUUCCCCUUGAUACACCUGGCAACGGAGUGCACAGACGGGGAGGGAGGCUCCGGCCCCAUGUGAGGAGGGAGCUUCUUUUAUACAGAAAGGUCUGGGCUUUGUCCUCUUGUUGACUCACCUGCGUCCCUGGCCCCAAGAAGCCUGUCACAAAAGUGAAGACAGAACCACCCUGGGUGUGAACUGGCCUUUCUCACUCUUGCCGCCAUUGGCUACUGGCCACAUUGAUUUAGGCAUAAAUUUACAUGUUUACACCAAGAAGACUGAUUUAGAUCCACAGGAGAAAGAAAACAAGUAGUCCAACUCUUCAAGGAUGCCAAGCUUCUAAUCCACGGGCCACAGAGCCCUGAUGGGGCUUUAUGGGCUCCUCCUUUACCUUCAAAAGACACAAGGUGUCUGAAACAAAUGGAGCCAGCCCAAAGCCGAGGUGGGCUGGGCAAGGUCACAUGACAAGAGCCGCCAGGAAUUCGUGGCAUCCCGGGAGCCGCCACAGCUGGACGCUGAUGGAGACCUGAAUGGGCGCCGCGGUGAAGUCUUGCUCCUUCUCGCCGGCCUGGAACUGGACCAGCACCUGGUGGAGCUGAGGAGGGAGGCCAGACGUGAGCCCCGCCCUGCCCGCUGUCUCCGUCCCUCAGCCCACUGUCUGACCCGAGUUACUCAUGUCACCUGUCAUUGUCAUUGCUAACGACCCUCUCGCGCAUAUAGGAUUUGAGAUUGUUUUCAAGGUGCCUUCGUACCUAGUGUCCUACUGUCCUGUCUGUGGGAAGCUCGUGGGACACUGGGACAAGAGGCCUUGUGGCCUCCUGGGGUGGGGAUGGCACGGUCAGGCUUCUGCCUCCAGCCUCGCAUCAGGGCUUGGGGAGUGGAAGGGGGUGUGUUAGGGGACUGGUCUCCUCCCUCUGGUUUUACUUAUGUAAGUCAUGUUUAAGAUCUUGAAAUAAAUGGCGACGCGGAACCAA